Long non-coding RNA from Oncorhynchus tshawytscha (Chinook salmon), 1071 nucleotides. Lineage: Eukaryota; Metazoa; Chordata; Actinopteri; Salmoniformes; Salmonidae. The record is from Ensembl.
GGGAGAGCGGAGGGAUGCUGGGAGGCGGACCCUCAUUCUGCUGCUCUCAGCCCUCCACCAGAGAAUGUGAGCGGAACGAGGAGUGGAGCGUGCUCUAUUUGACUGGAGCACAGAGCUCCACAGAUUCCCAAAGGCUGGAGCACCCCCCUCCAAUUUCACUCACUUCACCAGCUCAGAGCAUGCCCGGACCAGCAUGCAUCUGUAGUCUACUUGCACAGAGUCAAUGUGGAGGCUAUAUACAGGGGGUACCGGUACAGAGUCAAUGUGGAGGCUAUAUACAGGGGGUACCGGUACAGAGUCAAUGUGGAGGCUAUAUACAGGGGGUACCGGUACAGAGUCAAUGUGGAGGCUAUAUACAGGGUGUUACGGUACAGAGUCAAUGUGGAGGCUAUAUACAGGAGGUACCGGUACAGAGUCAAUGUGGAAAAGGCUAUAUAGAAGCCUCUUGGACCUAGACUUGGUGUUCCGGUACCGCUUGCCGUGCGGUAGCAGAGAGAACAGUCUAUGACUAGGGUGGCUGGAGUCUUUGACAAUUUUUUUAGGUUCUUCCUCUGACACCGCCUGGUAUAGAGGUCCUGGAUGGCAGGAAGCUUGGCCCCUGUGAUGUACUGGGCCAUUCUCACUACCCUCUGUAGUGCCUUGCAGUUGCCAAACCAGGCAUUGAUUCAACCAGUCAGGAUGCUCUCGAUGGUGCAGCUGUAGAACCUUUUGCAGAUCUGAGGACCCAUGCCAAUUAAAAGCAGCAUGAUGAUGUACUUACUACGUGCACAUGCUAACAGAAAGGAACCAGCUGAGUAGCUAGCUAAGUGUGUCGUUGUAGCAAAGUAUUUAUAAACCAAAAAUCUCAUCUCUUAAAUGUUUCAUUCAUUUUUGUUCUAUUACCUAUACAAUAGGCCAUAAUUGAUUUUGGCCCAAUAGGCCUGGCAUAUUCCCACGUUCAAUGAGCUUUCUGUUUUCAUUGGGUUAUUUUUGCCUAAAAACCUUUUAGGACUACCUAUAGAAAAAUGAAAAAAUAAACAACUCUGCAUCUCUGCCCAGCCUGGCAAGAGCAUCCUGAACGGUGUUUAUUAU